GGGGAAAAGCUCAAAUUUUAAAUCUGCUAGGUUUUACCUGUCAGAAUUGUAAUUUGAAGAAGCGUUUUCCGCGUCUCGGUUGGCCCAAAUCCUUUGGGAUGAGGUAUCAUGGAGGGUGAGAAUCCCGU
This 128-nucleotide ribosomal RNA is filed under the name Glomus sp. RNAcentral's name for it is "partial large subunit ribosomal RNA". Lineage: Eukaryota; Fungi; Glomeromycota; Glomeromycetes; Glomerales; Glomeraceae. The record is from RNAcentral.